CCACCGCGGUUAUACGAGAGGCCCAAGUUGAUAACAGUCGGCGUAAAGCGUGGUUAGGCCAUCAACCCCCACUAAAGUCGAAUGCCCUCAAAGCUGUUAUACGCACCCGAGGGUUAGAAGUUCAAAUACGAAAGUAACUUUAUAACUCUGAAUCCACGAAAGCUACGGCACAAACUGGGAUUAGAAACCCCACUAUGCCUAGCCCUAAACAUUGGCAACACAAAACACCCGUUGCCCGCCAGGGCACUACGAGCAUUAGCUUAAAACCCAAAGGACUUGGCGGUGCUUUAGACCCACCUAGAGGAGCCUGUUCUAGAACCGAUACCCCCCGUUAAACCUCACCCCUUCUUGUCAUUACCGCCUAUAUACCGCCGUCGUCAGCUUACCCUGUGAAGGAUUAGUAGUAAGCAAAGUUGUCACAACCCAAAACGUCAGGUCGAGGUGUAGCCUAUGAAGGGGGAAGAAAUGGGCUACAUUCACUAAUUAAGAGAAUACGAACGAUGUAUUGAAACACACGUCCAAAGGAGGAUUUAGCAGUAAGCAAAAAAUAGAGCGUUUUGCUGAAAAUGGCCCUGAAGCGCGCACACACCGCCCGUCACUCUCCCCAAGCUAACGACUAAAUAUAAUUAAAUCAUAAUAACUGCAAAGGGGAGGCAAGUCGUAACAUGGUAAGUG
RNAcentral lists this ribosomal RNA (675 nucleotides) under Lophius americanus (American anglerfish). RNAcentral's name for it is "partial 12S small subunit ribosomal RNA". It matches the Rfam family "Bacterial small subunit ribosomal RNA", at positions 512 to 1502 of the family's 1533-position model. The record is from RNAcentral. Lineage: Eukaryota; Metazoa; Chordata; Actinopteri; Lophiiformes; Lophiidae.